RNAcentral lists this long non-coding RNA (698 nucleotides) under Durio zibethinus. RNAcentral describes it as "long non-coding RNA (DZIB_LNC001822)". The record is from RNAcentral. Lineage: Eukaryota; Viridiplantae; Streptophyta; Magnoliopsida; Malvales; Malvaceae.
AAAACUGUCGAACCUAAUCCCUGGCUUGGACUCCUAGAGCCCGUUUCAGUGCCUAUAUACCCUUUCUAAAUUGAUACUUAAUAUUCAAACCUCAUGACGGGACUUAAAAAGGAUUUCAAAGAAAAAAUUUUAUUAUUUAUAUAAUCAAGAGAAUUUUUCUUCUUUCAAACUUUCAUUUAUAAAUCGAGAGAAUUUAUUAUUUAUAAAUCGCUAAAAUUUUGAUCAAAUGACAAACCAUUUUAUUUUUUGUAUUUUUAUUUUUUAUAUCUAUUCUAUUCAUUAAAUAAGUGAUAAUCCAAUAAUUCUUACUCAAAAAUCUUUAGACUUAAUUUAAAGGUUUUAUAUGGACUUUAACCUAGCUGGCCCUUCUUAUGAAGUGGCUAUGGAGAUUUCCAAAAGAAAAGAAAAAGCCAUGGUGCUCAUAUUUCGCUGCGUUGUACCUCUCCAAUGGAUAAAAUGGAUUGACCAACCCACCUAAAAAAUAUCCUGCAUCUAGAAAGGUAUUAUUUGGUACAAAGAAACUUUUAGGCAGAACUUGGGCUAGACUUUGAUUGAGCAAUGGUAAGCCAAUUAGCUUUAGGGAUGAUGCUUAGCCGUGCCACUGUUCCCAUUUUCUCUAUCUUAAAUUUAUCAUUUCAACAUUUUUUAAUGUUAUGAGGUGUUAUUCUGAAUUUCCAAAUAGUAUUUUAGGGUUUGUC